AGCUACCAUACAGAGCCUAUGGGUUACUAGGACAGCCAGUGAAACUUAGUUCCCUCUCCUCCUGGCUGGUUGUGAGCCAGAACACAGGACAACGAACCCAGGGAAUCUGAGUUCACUUAAUUAGUGAACUGACCUGAAACACAACUUUGGACCCUUCAGGUAUUUUUCAAUGAGUCAAAGAGGACAUAUGACAAGGUGUGAAGCGAUCAACAUGAAUCCACCACAACUACUGGGAAACAAGUUUAAGAAUCCUCUCUACACCUGAAUUGAACUACUCAGUUUCCUGGAAAUAAACCACGUGAAUAUUCAUCUCCAUGUCUUUGUUUGCACAGUAUCUUUUACAGAGAAUAUACUCCUGCCCAACUGUUCACAUUAUCUCGAUUCUGGUCUACCUUCAAAAGCCAGGUGUGAGGUUAAUUUUCCAAUCAUUUUGCUCCAUAGUGGUAUCUCUGUAAGUUCUCAUGAUGUUCAUUAAUUGUAUCACUGAUUUAACACUUAGCAUGUUCUAUUCUGUGUAAUUAUUUAUCUUAUUAUCAGUAUUAUUAUCUUAGCUAGUCCCCAGUUAUACCAUAAAUUCUUUGAGUAUUUAUUGCCUUUACUUCUUUAAAGUAUAUUUAAGGUGGUAGGUGUUUAAUACAUUCUUGUUGCUGCUAAAGUUUUGCUGAUGGUAAUUGAAAUAUUGAAAUGCUCAAUAACUAUUUUUCAUUUCCUGUUUCAACACAUGCUUAAUGUGGGAUUGUCAUCCAAUGUAGAUCAAGAAGGGUUAAGUGAGCAAGCAUUGUUAUACCAACAAAAGCCCUAUUGAAAGAUAUUUCAAGUAUUGUAUAUGGAAUUGGAGAAUGUUAGUCCUAGAAGACCACCCCUGUAUCAUACAUUCUGUAGAAAAUGAAAUGAAUGCCUAGAGAAGAGAUGUGUCUUGCCUAAAGUAAUGUAGCUAAUUAGUUGCAGAGCCAGUAGUAGAACUCGGCUUCCUUCUUAUUUUGAGAUUCUGGUACAUUGGUUGGCAGGAGGAAAGGGCCAAAUAAAAUUGGGAAAGUUAGAAUGAGAUGCCUUUUUUCUCUCUGCAAGAGGAAAAUACCAUUGAAUUAACUCCUUUGCCACAGAGGACUAGAAAUAUACAUAUUUUAGACUUAACAAAGAGAAAUAAAUAUGGUGAUGCAAUGAAGACACCUAUUAAUGUAAGACUAAAAACAUAUCUGCUGUUGCUCUUCAGUCACAUCUAGUCCUCCAUGACUCUAUUUGAAGUUUUCCUGGCAAAGAUACUGAUGUGACUUGACAUUUCCUUCUCCAGCUCAUUUAUCAAAUGAGGAAACUGAGGUAAACAGGAUUAAGCAACUUUUUCAGUCACACAGCUAGUAUCUUGAAGUUAGAUUUGAACUAAGAAGGUGAGUUUUCUUGACUCCAAGCCCAGCACUUUCCCCACUAUACCGCCUAGCUGCCCUAAAUAUAUAU
This is a long non-coding RNA of Monodelphis domestica (gray short-tailed opossum), 1452 nucleotides long. RefSeq lists it as uncharacterized. Lineage: Eukaryota; Metazoa; Chordata; Mammalia; Didelphimorphia; Didelphidae. The record is from RefSeq and is a predicted model, not a curated record.